UAUCCGGAAUAUUGGGCGUAAAGGGCUCGUAGGCGGUUCGUCGCGUCCGGUGUGAAAGUCCAUCGCUUAACGGUGGAUCCGCGCCGGGUACGGGCGGGCUUGAGUGCGGUAGGGGAGACUGGAAUUCCCGGUGUAACGGUGGAAUGUGUAGAUAUCGGGAAGAACACCAAUGGCGAAGGCAGGUCUCUGGGCCGUUACUGACGCUGAGGAGCGAAAGCGUGGGGAGCGAACAGGAUUAGAUACCCUGGUAGUCCACGCCGUAAACGGUGGAUGCUGGAUGUGGGGCCCGUUCCACGGGUUCCGUGUCGGAGCUAACGCGUUAAGCAUCCCGCCUGGGGAGUACGGCCGCACGGCUAAACUUAACGAAA
This 368-nucleotide ribosomal RNA is filed under the name uncultured bacterium. RNAcentral describes it as "bacterial SSU rRNA". It matches the Rfam family "Bacterial small subunit ribosomal RNA", at positions 542 to 909 of the family's 1533-position model. The record is from RNAcentral.